UGGGGAAUAUUGGACAAUGGGGGCAACCCUGAUCCAGCGAUGCCGCGUGGGUGAAGAAGGCCUUCGGGUUGUAAAGCCCUUUAGGUUGGGAAGAAGGUUUAUAGAGGAUAAUGCUAUAGACAUGACGGUACUAACAGAAUAAGCACCGGCAAACUCUGUGCCAGCAGCCGCGGUAAUACAGAGGGUGCAAGCGUUAAUCGGAAUUACUGGGCGUAAAGGGCGCGUAGGCGGUGAGGCGAGUGUGAUGUGAAAGCCCUGGGCUUAACCUAGGAAGUGCAUCGCAAACGGCCUGACUGGAGUAUGAGAGAGGGUGGCGGAAUUUCCGGUGUAGCGGUGAAAUGCGUAGAGAUCGGAAGGAACGUCGAUGGCGAAGGCAGCCACCUGGCUCAAUACUGACGCUGAGGCGCGAAAGCGUGGGGAGCGAACAGGAUUAGAUACCCCCGUAGUCC
This 449-nucleotide ribosomal RNA is filed under the name uncultured bacterium. RNAcentral's name for it is "bacterial SSU rRNA". It matches the Rfam family "Bacterial small subunit ribosomal RNA", at positions 355 to 796 of the family's 1533-position model. The record is from RNAcentral.